AACGAACGCUGGCGGUAUGCUUAACACAUGCAAGUUGAACGGAAUUAUUUAAGCUUGCUUAAAUAAUUUAGUGGCAAACGGGUGAGUAACACGUGGGAAUCUACCCAGUAGUACGGAACAACAGUUAGAAAUGACUGCUAAUACCGUAUAGUAUCGAGAGAUUAAAGAUUUAUCGCUACUGGAUGAGCCCGCGGCAGAUUAGGUAGUUGGUAGGGUAAUGGCCUACCAAGCCAAAGAUCNGUAGCUGGUCUGAGAGGAUGAUCAGCCACACUGGAACUGAGACACGGUCCAGACUCCUACGGGAGGCAGCAGUGAGGAAUAUUGGACAAUGGGCGAAAGCCUGAUCCAGCAAUACCGCGUGAGUGAAGAAGGCCUUAGGGUUGUAAAGCUCUUUCAGCAGGGAAAAUUAUGAUGGUACCUGCAGAAGAAGUUCCGGCUAA
Molecule: ribosomal RNA, 440 nt
Filed under: uncultured bacterium
Lineage: Bacteria
Description: bacterial SSU rRNA
Rfam family: Bacterial small subunit ribosomal RNA
Source: RNAcentral